Molecule: long non-coding RNA, 2149 nt
Filed under: Gallus gallus (chicken)
Lineage: Eukaryota; Metazoa; Chordata; Aves; Galliformes; Phasianidae
Description: lncRNA (ENSGALG00010018029.1)
Source: RNAcentral
CCAGUACCGCCGCCUCGCCAGGUCACGUGACGGUCACCCGGUACGCUACGCGUCGCGUCGAGUGACGUCACGCCUGCGUGCGCCCGCUGCCCGGACUUGCCCUCACUCAGACUGCGCACGCGCAGAGCGGGCAGCCGCGUUCGUCCAAUCGUCCCUCCUCCCAAGCUUUAAGUGACAGCCAGGGUAGCCAAUUGGCUCUGCGGGGACGAAGGGGAGGACGGCGCUCUCCCGGAAGAAGGAUCGGGGAGGGAGCUUGCAUGUAACAGGCAGCAGUAGAAGCCAAUGAGAUGGCCGAACAGGGCAGGGCUGGCCAAUAGGAGAGGCGGGGGGCGGGGCGUGCAGGGGGCCGCGCAGGGCCGGAGCCUGUGCCUGCGCCUGCGCCUGCGCCGGGUUUGUCCGGUACGGCUGUGCCGCUCGGUGUGCACCGCUCCUCGGGACAGCGUGUGCCGGGGCCCUCCUCGGGAAAUAUUUCUUCCUUCUAUGGAAACCAACGAGCACCCGGGCCUGCACUCUUGAUAUAAAUACCCGGUGAUGACCGACUUAUUGCGGGCGACCGGGCGACGAAUCCACCGUUGGGACAGCACUGCCGGUGUCAGGCCGUGUAAGGAGUCGCUGUCCUUCUGUUUGUGAGCUCCCUCCAGGCACGUGAAGGCCGCAGUGAGGUCUCCCCAGAGCCUUCUCCAGGCCGCACGAGCCCAACUCCCUCAGCCCUUCCUGUCGGUGAGGCGCUCCGGCCCUCCCAGCACCUUUGCGGGAUUACGGCGGCCCGAGUGCAGCACCUCGCGCGUGGCCGUGUUGCACCUCAUCUGGUUCACGCGGUGCUGCUUUUCAAGCCUGUCCCGGGCCCCCCUGGAGGGCACACACAGCGCUGCCAUCACUCACCGCUGCGCGAGAUGCAGCUUCUGGUCCCUGGAAUGCUGUGCAGCAUGACAUUAGCACAGAGCUCCUGUCAGAGCAGCGCAGAUCCCAGCCCGGCCAGGCUGCCUGUGCCUGCUCCUGGGCUCCCAGCACUGACAGUGCCCACCAGGCCCAUCUGUGUGGGUCGGGGGGGAGAGAGAGGCAGCAGGCCUUUGGGGUCGGGUCUGGGGGGCUGUGGGGGCCACAGACUAUCACUGAGAUACGAAAUGUCUCUGCAGAGCUGGAAGGUCAGGAGCUGAGGAGAAUAUGAAGGGCUCCCAUCAUGCUGCUGAGUGCCCCUCCUCUCCUGGCCGUACGCUGAGGGCAGGUGGAGGCAGGGACAAGGGUCAGGAGCAAGGGCAGAAUGAUUUUUUGCUUUCUCAGUCUUCCUAGAAAGAAAGAAAAAAAAAAAUCUAAAAUCUUUAAGAUAUGUGUGGGAUCUGUUGAGUCACGGCCUGAACCACGGAUUGAUCACCUGUGGAAAGGACCCAGUCAGCCCUGAGAGCACAGGUGAAAGCAAUUCAUGUGUGCGAAUGGAAGGAGGGGAGCCUGGCUGCAGCUCUCUUAGAUCUCAUUUAAGGGCUGACUGCUGCUGGGGAGGAUCUUUGCCUGGUGGAUUUGCCACAAGGUUUCUCACAAUGACUAACAGUAGAAGGAAAUGUGCUCUGAAGGGGUGUGCUUGCAAGUCGGCUCAAGAGAAAUGAAAAUCGUUGUAGCGGGGACCCUGCCUGGGAGCAGAGCAUUACCAAAUACGUUACUAUGCAAAGAAUCUCAUGUUGAAUAAUUUAGAAAUACCUUUUUGUUAGUGGUCAAGUAAAACAUGGCAACAGAGGGUAAUCUCAGGAAAAAGAGGGGAUAAAAACAUCUCUAUCAAGCCCAGACUUGAUGGGAAAGGAAGAGCUGAACAAGUGUGCGUGUCUGGGGGUGUUCAUCUUCUAGACUGCACCCAGAGAAGGAGAAUGAUUGUGAUGCUGCAGUCUCGGAACUCCAGUCAGUACACAAAUGGAAGGAUUUCUGGGCUGAGAUGAAUUUAUCUCCGCAGCUUCUAAUCUUUUGGAUUUUGUGUUCUAGUGCAGUGAAGCUUUUGGGCAUGAUUUAUCAUCACUAUAGCUAACACUGUAUGGGAAAAAAACUGACUUUAGAUCUUACAUCAAAGCUUUUAACAAAGCUUGUUUCCCUGGAUUUUACUUGCUUUCCAUUGUCUCCACCUCUCUGGUGCCUCUUUAAAAUAUAUGCCUAAUCUGAAAGCUGA